AGAGCGAACGCUGGCGGCGUGCUUAACACAUGCAAGUCGAACGCGCAGCAUUCUGUAGCAAUACAGGAUGUGGGCGCGUGGCGAACGGGUGCGUAACACGUGGAUAACCUUCCUUCAGGUGGGGAAUAACCCAGUGAAAAUUGGGCUAAUACCGCAUAACAAUGCGAGAGCACAUGCUCUUGCUUUCAAAGGCGCAAGUCGCCAGAAGAGGGAUCCGCGGCCGAUUAGCUAGUUGGCGGGGUAACGGCCCACCAAGGCUUUGAUCGGUAGCCGGACUGAGAGGUUGGCCGGCCACACUGGAACUGAGACACGGUCCAGACUCCUACGGGAGGCAGCAGUGGGGAAUCUUGCACAAUGGACGAAAGUCUGAUGCAGCAACGCCGCGUGGGGGAUGAAGCUUCUCGGAGUGUAAACCCCUUUGACCCGGAAGAAUGCCCGCAAGGGUUUGACGGUACGGGUAUAAGAAGCCCGGCUAACUACGUGCCAGCAGCCG
This 493-nucleotide ribosomal RNA is filed under the name uncultured bacterium. RNAcentral describes it as "SSU rRNA". It matches the Rfam family "Bacterial small subunit ribosomal RNA", at positions 26 to 517 of the family's 1533-position model. The record is from RNAcentral.